This 403-nucleotide ribosomal RNA is filed under the name Verrucomicrobiota bacterium. RNAcentral's name for it is "Verrucomicrobia bacterium partial 16S ribosomal RNA". It matches the Rfam family "Bacterial small subunit ribosomal RNA", at positions 355 to 776 of the family's 1533-position model. The record is from RNAcentral. Lineage: Bacteria; Pseudomonadati; Verrucomicrobiota.
UGGGGAAUAUUGCACAAUGGGCGCAAGCCUGAUGCAGCAACGCCGCGUGAACGAUGAAGGUCUUCGGAUCGUAAAGUUCUGUUGCAGGGGAAGAUAAUGACGGUACCCUGUGAGGAAGCCCCGGCUAACUACGUGCCAGCAGCCGCGGUGAUACGUAGGGGGCUAGCGUUAUACGGAUUUACUGGGCGUAAAGGGUGCGUAGGUGGUCUUUCAAGUCGGUGGUUAAAGGCUACGGCUCAACCGUAGUUAGCCUCCGAAACUGGAAGACUUGAGUGCAGGAGAGGAAAGUGGAAUUCCCAGUGUAGCGGUGAAAUGCGUAGAUAUUGGGAGGAACACCAGUAGCGAAGGCGGCUUUCUGGACUGCAACUGACACUGAGGCACGAAAGCGUGGGUAGCAAACAGG